Long non-coding RNA from Papaver somniferum (opium poppy), 4847 nucleotides. RefSeq lists it as uncharacterized. The record is from RefSeq and is a predicted model, not a curated record. Lineage: Eukaryota; Viridiplantae; Streptophyta; Magnoliopsida; Ranunculales; Papaveraceae. The transcript has 6 exons.
UGCUCACAGUUCUCUACAAACACUAAACGCGGAAGAAAGAAGUUGAAUUCAGUCUUUCUCUUUUCAUCUUAUUCACCGCAUGAGUUGAUGUUGAAUCAGAGAGGGGUUCAUGGUUCUUUGCUUGAAAGAAGUUGUUAUAACCAUCAAUACUAUUGGAGGAGCAGUUAUCGCUAAUAUCAAAUCAAGUUGGAUUGCAUGAAGCCAUCGACUAUCUUGAUCUCUAAAUUAGUUUGGUGAUAUAAUUUGAGAAAUUGGUAAUUGGGAUUCUGAAUUUUCUAGGUUAAAAUCCUCAAAUUGAAAAGAAACUCUAGAUGUUUGAAAAUCUAUUUUGGUUCCUGCGGUUUGUGUGCUUGUUGUUUGCCUGAGAUUCAGGAGCAAGGUUUAAUCAAAAAUAAGGUGCAGAGAAAAGGAAUUAGAAGGAAUUUUUUUAAUCAAAAAUACGGUGCAGGCGAAAGGAAUUAGAAGGAAAUUUAAGACGAAAACUUUGAUUUUUCUGAACCUGUUUGUGUUGAGUUACUGAUGCCCCGUAUUUAGUUUUGUCUCUUCAUAUUGAUUUUCAAUUGAUGUUGAAUAACUCAGCAGUGGUCGAUGUUUCCAGUAAAUUUAGGAGGCAAAGAUUCGUGAUGCAUAGGAAAGCAUGUGAACAUGUGGAAACCCUACAAGUUUUAAAUCUGUAAAAAAAAUUAUCCACUUUUUGUUUGGCGUAGGCAGAUUGACGACUUUUUCUUUUUAUCUUCGUUACUCCUUGGUGCUUACUUAUCAGACAUUGCUACCAAGGUACACCAAUCCUCAUUCUUAUUCUUAAGAAUUGCAAUUGACUGGUAAUAGAAUUUUUUUUCUUCGCUUUACGUGAAAUCCAUACGAAACAGGAAAAUCCUUUUUAUUUACUAAGAUUUAACUGUUUUGUUAGCAUGUGUAUAUAGAUAUGAAUGAAUGGUAUACUGUUUAAUAUCUUUAAUGUCUUGGAGCCACUGCGAUUUUUAGUUCACAUAUGUUGUUGUAUGUAAUUGGAAAUAGGAAUGCCAUAGUAGGAGAUCACUAAUUAUGUGCUGUGUAUUCCCUUGAACUUUAUUACAAAUAUGAAUUCACCGAAAGGGAAACAUAUCUAAGAGAAAUAGAACAAUCAGAGAAGGAGAAAUUGGGAAUGCUGUAUGGUAUCUGAAUGAUGAUUUACUUCUCUUGCUGUGGCAGCUUAUAAGAAUUCAUCAAUUGUACUCUGUAUUUUUGGUGGGUUUUUCCUCCAUCGCUUCAUUUAACUAUUUUCUAUACACAAAGUGUUUUGUGGUGAAGGUGAUCUUAGUGACAAUAUAUGUCUUAGGAUUAAAGCUGUCCAUAUGUGUACAGUGCGGCAAGUCAGCGGAAAUUGUGCAGAAUUAGGCUAUGAUUACAGGAAGAUACAUGUAUCUCCAAGUUCAUUGCCAGCUGAUCAAUACAGUGCCGAAUUAGACUAUAAUUACAGGCAAGUAGGGUGGGUGAUGCUUUAAAAAGACCAGGGCCGCACAGAUAUUUUCAUAUGUUUUUGGUCGUUGGAUGCAGAUUUGUGUUAGAUAAAAUCCGUUUUCUCUUUCCACCUCUAUUUUUUUUCUUCUUUUUUUGAUGGGGAAGACAGAGCGAAAGAUGGUUCCCUCCUACCCUAACAGUGGCAAUUCUCUGUGAAGAUUAGAGAUGUGAAGAUUAGACGUGGCAAAGCAUAUAAUAAAGAUUGUAGAGACGCAAGCAGAGGCCAAACUCAUGUUUUGCACCACUAUUAUUAGAGCACCAUGCACGAUACACCCCACAUUGAAUUACUACAGUGAUAUGUCUUAUUGUCUUCCACUCCAAGAUCAGGCCAAUGUUUAUUUUAUCUUCCUGAAAUGUUUUUGACUUCUCUUUUGCUCAUAUAUGCUUUGUUUAAAUGGUUAUAGGAUUUUUUCCUUGGUUUCUGCACAUCAUCAAAUAUUCAAUAAAUUUGUAGUAUCAUAUUUAGUCUCAUGUAAUAUUUGUGCAGAUUUCCAUUCUUUCAAUUUCAGAGUAUGUUUAAAGAUGACCAAAUUGAUUAAAGAUGUGGAAGCUUGGCGUGAAGAACUGAGAAGCUGUUAUAGAAGAGAGGGUCCAGGGGGUGCAUCAGUAGCAGCAAUAGUAAUGUCCAGCAAUCAAAAUAAUAAAGUUUGGCAAGUAGCACAGUUGUAUAAGUUGCAUUCCAAAAUUUUGGUGGAUCAAAGAUGUGUAAGUUGCCCUAAACUGAGCACUUGAAUCUUUUGUUUAUAUGCUUCUUCUACUGUAUAGCAGUUUUGAGUUCUCUAAGAAUGCGCCUUCACACUAAUUAUCCUUAUUACUUCGAUAACAACGUUUCUUAUUGAUCAAAUUGAAGUUUUUCUCUAUAAUUUAAGUCAGUAUAAACACUCUUGAAUAAUCUGUUGGCACAGAUUUGUGUGCUCGGCUGAUGCUUAUAAAGUUAAUAUUAUUCCUAAUAGGAAGUUGAAUUAACUCUGGGAAGCAUCAGCUGAGCAUGGAUGAGUAAGAAUAAUGAAGACUCCGAGGUGGAAAUCACGUUUACAGUAAAUAUUAUUUCUAAUAAAAACUCAUCCCUCAAAAUGUUUGAAGAUGUGCUGACUACUCUAUUUGCUCGGCGCAUAUAAACUCAUCCCUCAAAACGUUUACAGUGAAUAUCACUUAUAAAUAAAUAUAUAUAUUGUGCAAUAUAUGGUGGCGUAGGAUACUCUAUUUCGAUGAAGUAAUUGCCAUAAAUGAAGUUGGCUCUUAAGUACUUCGUACGCAAGAUCUUUUUGGUCAAGUUGGCUCUUAAGGCUGUUAAACUUCUUAGAUGUGUUUUUCCAAGUUGGUUUUGCUAACUUUUGUUGCUUAAUGGAAUUGAACCAUAACAGUUGCUUAAUGGAGCAUUAAUUAGUCUUUAGCUAAUGAACCAGUGUAAAAGAUUUAGUUCUUAAACUAAAUCUUUUAGCUUAAUCCAAAAGUUGUGGUAAAGAAGUGGGCGGUGCUUGCAGGUGGAUAUGUGGUUAUUUAGGGGUUCGGUUAUUAGACUUGCUGUCAUUAAUUGUUUAUGCUAGCGAUCUGGCUACAUAUAUGCUAAAGAACCAAAUAUGUAAAGAACAUUUUGGAAGCAUAUGAUCCAUGCUUCAAUUUUAUUUUGCACACUCAGUUUCUUCCGAAAUUUGGUAGCAGUUUCAUUCUUAAUUAUUUGGGCCAUCCAUAAUGGCUCGGAAACUAUGACCUGACUAACUAAUUUAUUAUUAGUCACAAAUUGGUUUAUUUCAUCUCUUUCUACUAUAUUAGUUAUGAUCACUAAUUUUGUUCUGAUUAUCCAAUUUGUUGUAUUUUAUGCAAGUUGCAUAUUAAAGGCAAGCAAUCCAACAGCACCACCACUAAUUGCAGGGUCUUACAUGGAUAAAACAUAAUUAAUGAAGUAGCAAGAAGAGAAGAGACCUUCUUGAGGCUGUAAAGGUUGAAAGCCGUCACUCUACGGUUUUUAUUUGUAACAUUGAUAUUAAAUCUCACGACUUUGAUUAUCCAUUGUGAUAUUAGGUAAAAAUCACUCUUAUUGUUCUUCUUUGUUAAUUCAGCAUUCUAUUUGGUAUUUUUCUUUGAUCCAAUUAGUGACGGUUCUGCUUCCUUUCUCAUGUAUGAAAUAGCUGUAGAGUGGUGAAUUUUGAGAUAUGGCAGCUAUUUGAGUAUGAAUUUUGUCUAAGAGAUUGAUGUGUUCAGAAUACGAAUCUGAGAUGGUUUGUAGUUUUAAAGUAAAAGUUGCUAUUAAGGUUUUGCUUAUAUCAGAGAAAUGGACGCUGUAACAGGCAAUCAUGUCAGGAGAAGAUACUCAGAGCAAUAACCAAGGAUUGAUACCGCUGCUUAACUAUUCUUAUUCUCAUGUAUUAUGUUUCUGUCUACAAUAUCAUAUCAAGGACUUGCAUAUGAUAGAAGAAACAUAUAGAAAAAGACAAUGAGCUGCGGAAGAUGAGCUAGAGUUUUUUCAUGUGAAGCAGGAUUUUGAGUCUUUGGUGGUAAGCUGGGAGUGUAUGGUGCCAGAACAAAUUGAAACUGACAGGCAUAUCAUGCUAAAUCUGUCGACUUCUAUUUUUCAGGGACUUAGCCUGGUGUGAAACUGAAUUGGCAAGAGCCAGAUGUAGAGUUUGAAUGAGCUAAAUCUGGAUUUGUUGGCCAAAUCUCUAAAUGGUAUAGAGACAGGAAAGCAGAAGGUAAUGUGUUGUCCAUGAAUAUUGACAACCCCAUACAACAACUAGGUGGAGUGGUUUCAAAAUACCAGAAAAAACGUAUCAUUGUUUGUAACCAUUUUAUUGUGAUCGUGAUCAUGGUUGAAUCUCCGUCAAAUAAAUUUUAUUCGUGGGUCCCUAGAUAGCUUUGUGGUGUGCUGCUGCUGCUCUAGCGUUAAUAUGGGUGCUUCAGAAUUUUCUAAACCUUGCACAGAGGUGUAGCUCAUCUCCAGAUUAUGGAGGUCAAAGAUCUGUCUUUUGCUCGCCUAAUUCAGCAAGAUUAGGUGUCCAUUUGUUUGCAUUUACACAGAGAGAUCACUUCAAUGGGGGACCAUUCAGUUAGAAGAACUCAUCUUCAGUCAAUGCUUUUACAGAAAAAGUAACAGCAGUUGAGGAAUUCUACUUGAAUUUGGUGAGUUCAUUUUCUAGUCAUAUUGAAGCAUUGAGUUUGUAUGCCAUUUGGUGCCCUGUUCUUAUAUAAGGAUAUUCCAAUAUGUUAGCAAUCAACUACAUAGGGAUCUUCUUUUGUCGUUGGUGCAUCAACAUUUCGUACUUUAUGAACUACUAUUAAACUUGGAAUUCAUAAACGUUUAAUGUACUGGUAGGUUUCAUCCUUUAUAUAUGCCAUCAUUUUUUGGGUUU